UACGAAGGGGGCUAGCGUUGUUCGGAAUUACUGGGCGUAAAGCGCGUGUAGGCGGGUCUUUUAGUCAGGGGGGAAAUGCCAGGGCUCAACCUUGGAACUGCCUUUGAUACUGGAGACCUUGAGUCCGGGAGAGGUGAGUGGAAUUGCGAGUGUAGAGGUGAAAUUCGUAGAUAUUCGCAAGAACACCAGUGGCGAAGGCGGCUCACUGGCCCGGUACUGACGCUGAGGUGCGAAAGCGUGGGGAGCAAACAGG
RNAcentral lists this ribosomal RNA (253 nucleotides) under uncultured bacterium. RNAcentral's name for it is "partial 16S ribosomal RNA". It matches the Rfam family "Bacterial small subunit ribosomal RNA", at positions 524 to 776 of the family's 1533-position model. The record is from RNAcentral.